Molecule: non-coding RNA, 2729 nt
Organism: Chlorocebus sabaeus (green monkey)
Lineage: Eukaryota; Metazoa; Chordata; Mammalia; Primates; Cercopithecidae
Source: RefSeq, a predicted model, not a curated record
CAGUCUGUCCUUAAUAGUAAGACCCACUUAAUACACCUCUCCUGGCUCUUUGUUUAGUGUUUGGACAUUCAAAGACCCCUAGACUAGGCGGCGGGAGUUUCAGGGCCACGAUCCAGAUCGUAUACCAACUGUGUGUGGCCCCGCACAAAAUCACUCCCCGCUCUUUGGCACUUAAGUUGGCGAAACUGGGAUGGGCUGGGACCUCAAAGGGCCGUUCUAGUAGGGGAGUCACAGGCCCAGGUGGUGAAGGGGUGGAAGGGCACGUCUCGCGGUUUAUAGUCCACUGAGCCUCGCCGGAGGUAACCCCAGCUCGGGGAUGCUUUCGUUGCCAUGGUAACCGCCGGGUAGGCGCGGGCCCCUGCGUGCGGCUGAGGAAGUUGGGACCAAUCCUGCCCUUCCCAAGAUGGCGGCGGCAGCAGGGCAAAGGGCGGGGUUAGAUGCUGUCAGCCUGUCCAGACCUUUCCUCUGUUUUCGCUUGUUCCUACUAACGGCAAGCUUCCGCCAAUACUUGUUCUUGUUCUUGGUUCCGAGCGUCCCGAGAACCGGGAAGGGAAGGAUUGUCUGCAGGGAUUGGAGCAAAUAUCCAGUGUGGGAAAAGGCGGGACUUCCGCGUCCUGCCGGAAGUGACGUGACAGUAGCGGCCACCGCCAGGUGGAACGGCAGGUGGGUUCAGGUACCAGCUUGGCCCGGACCCGGUUGUGGGACCAACGCUUCCGGUGAGCGACAGAGGCAGCUCCUCAGGGCCUGGAGACCCGUGGGGCGGGCUCUGGGAUCUGAGCCUAUCGCCCUGGCCUGGAGUUCCCCUUUGUACCUAUUCCCCAUUCCCCUACCGAGCUGGGCAGUUAGCCAGCCCACUCCAGCUCUCGGAACCAUGUUUGCAGACUUGGAUUAUGACAUCGAAGAGGAUAAACUCGGAAUCCCAACUGUGCCUGGGAAGGUGACCCUGCAGAAGGAUGCUCAGAACCUGAUCGGGAUCAGCAUUGGAGGAGGGGCCCAGUACUGUCCCUGUCUCUAUAUUGUCCAGGUAUUUGACAACACCCCAGCAGCCUUGGACGGCACAGUGGCAGCUGGCGAUGAGAUCACCGGUGUCAAUGGCAGGUCAAUCAAAGGGAAAACCAAGGUGGAGGUGGCGAAGAUGAUUCAGGAGGUGAAGGGGGAGGUGACCAUCCACUACAACAAGCUGCAGGCGGACCCCAAGCAGGGCAUGUCCCUGGACAUUGUGUUGAAGAAAGUCAAGCACCGGCUGGUGGAAAACAUGAGUUCGGGGACUGCAGAUGCUCUGGGCCUGAGCCGGGCCAUCCUGUGCAAUGAUGGGCUUGUCAAGAGGCUAGAGGAGCUGGAGCGGACCGCCGAGCUGUACAAAGGGAUGACGGAACACACCAAGAACCUCCUACGGGCCUUUUAUGAGCUGUCGCAGACUCACCGGGGGGGCCAAGUAGGGGCAGCCUUCAAGGCAAACUUGUCCUGCAGCCUUUGGGGACGUGUUCUCCGUGAUCGGGGUGCGGGAGCCCCAGCCAGCUGCGAGCGAGGCUUUUGUGAAGUUCGCCGAUGCCCACCGCAGCAUCGAGAAGUUUGGCAUUCGGCUUCUGAAAACCAUCAAGCCGAUGCUGACGGACCUGAACACGUACCUCAACAAAGCCAUCCCAGACACUCGCCUCACUAUCAAGAAGUACCUGGACGUGAAGUUUGAGUACCUGUCGUACUGCCUGAAGGUGAAGGAGAUGGAUGACGAGGAAUACAGCUGCAUUGCCCUAGGCGAGCCCCUUUACCGGGUGAGCACCGGCAACUACGAGUACCGCCUGAUCCUGCGCUGCCGCCAGGAGGCGCGCGCCCGUUUCUCCCAGAUGCGCAAGGACGUGCUGGAGAAGAUGGAACUGCUGGACCAGAAGCACGUCCAGGACAUCGUGUUCCAGCUGCAGCGCCUCGUGUCCACCAUGUCUAAGUACUACAACGACUGCUAUGCGGUGCUGCGGGAUGCCGAUGUCUUCCCCAUCGAGGUGGACUUGGCGCACACCACACUGGCCUACGGCCUCAACCAGGAGGAGUUCACAGAUGGGGAGGAGGAGGAGGAGGAGGAGGACACGGCAGCUGGGGAGCCGUCCAGGGAUACACGAGGGGCUGCUGGGCCCUUGGACAAGGGUGGAAGCUGGUGUGACUCCUGAGUGCCCCGCGGGUAUGGCGCCGGGGGCAGGGUGCGUGGGAGGACGGAACCUGGGAGUGGGGCGGGGUCGCCAAGCAAGGGGGCGACGCAUAAAGGCCUGCUGGCUUGGGGCGCCUGCCUCCCUGCUCCUCUGUCCUCGCACAGUGAACCUGGGCUCCUGCCCAGGACAGGCACCAGGGUCAUGGCCUGGGACCUGGACACUGGCCCCUCCACCCUCCCUCCCCUCCCGGCUCUCCAGCCAGAGGGAGAGCUUGGUCUCUGGACCUGCCUUAGGAAGGAGAGGGAGGGCAGGAAGGAAAAGAAAGGACUUGGAGGUGGCAGGAGUCCGGGCCCUGCUCCUUGUGGGCACUCGCACUGCCCCCGGAGCCUGCCGGGAGUGGGGCCGGCGGUGGACAGCUGAGGUUGGGGCCAGUGUCUCCUGGGCACCCUUGCCUCGCCCCAGACCAGCCCGUCCAGUCCCCAUCACACCUCGGCGGCCUUUAUUUAUUCUCUUCCCCCAGCUUGGCCACUUCUUUGAAGGAGGGCUGGGCUCUGGGCCUGUAUCGAAUAAACAAACCUGGAUGGCGCA